UACGGAGGGAGCUAGCGUUGUUCGGAAUUACUGGGCGUAAAGGGCGCGCAGGCGGCUGCUCAAGUCAGGCGUGAAAGGCCUGGGCUCAACCCGGGAAUUGCGCUUGAGACUGGGCUGGCUUGAGUACAGAUGAGGCUGGCGGAAUGGGUGGUGUAGCGGUGAAAUGCAUAGAUACCAGGAAGAACACCCGUGGCGAAGGCGGCUCUCUGGGACGGUACUGACGCUGAGACGCGAAAGCGUGGGGAGCGAACAGG
RNAcentral lists this ribosomal RNA (254 nucleotides) under uncultured bacterium. RNAcentral's name for it is "partial 16S ribosomal RNA". It matches the Rfam family "Bacterial small subunit ribosomal RNA", at positions 524 to 776 of the family's 1533-position model. The record is from RNAcentral.